CCUACGGGUGGCAGCAGUGAGGAAUAUUGCACAAUGGGGGAAACCCUGAUGCAGCGACGCCGCGUGAAGGAAGAAGUAUUUCGGUAUGUAAACUUCUUUCAGUAGGGAAGAAAGUGACGGUACCUGACUAAGAAGCCCCGGCUAAUUACGUGCCAGCAGCGGCGGCACUACGUAGGGGGCAAGCGUUAUCCGGAUGUACUGGGUGUAAAGGGAGCGUAGGCGGGUUUGCAAGUCAGAUGUGAAAGUCCGGGGCUCAACUCCGGGACUGCUUUUGAAACUGUAUGGCUAGAUUGCAGGUGAGGCAGGUGGAAUUCGUAGUGUAGCGGUGAAAUGCGUAGAUAUUAGGAGGAACACCAGUGGCGAAGGCGGCUUGCUGGACUGUAAAUGACGCUGAGGCUCGAAAGCGUGGGGAGCAAACAGGAUUAGAUACCCGAGUAGUC
Molecule: ribosomal RNA, 440 nt
Filed under: uncultured bacterium
Lineage: Bacteria
Description: partial 16S ribosomal RNA
Rfam family: Bacterial small subunit ribosomal RNA
Source: RNAcentral